AUGAACGCUGGCGGCGUGCCUAAUACAUGCACGUCGAGCGAACAGACGAGGAGCUUGCUCCUCUGACGUUAGCGGCGGACGGGUGAGUAACACGUGGAGAACCUACCUAUAAGACUGGGAUAACUUCGGGAAACCGGAGCUAAUACCGGAUAAUAUAUUGAACCGCAUGGUUCAAUAGUGAAAGACGGUUUUGCUGUCACUUAUAGAUGGAUCCGCGCCGCAUUAGCUAGUUGGUAAGGUAACGGCUUACCAAGGCAACGAUGCGUAGCCGACCUGAGAGGGUGAUCGGCCACACUGGAACUGAGACACGGUCCAGACUCCUACGGGAGGCAGCAGUAGGGAAUCUUCCGCAAUGGGCGAAAGCCUGACGGAGCACCGCCGCGUGAGUGAUGAAGGUCUUCGGAUCGUAAAACUCUGUUAUUAGGGAAGAACAAAUGUGUAAGUAACUAUGCCCGUCUUGACGGUACCUAAUCAGAAAGCCACGGCUAACUACGUG
This 496-nucleotide ribosomal RNA is filed under the name uncultured bacterium. RNAcentral describes it as "partial 16S ribosomal RNA". It matches the Rfam family "Bacterial small subunit ribosomal RNA", at positions 29 to 507 of the family's 1533-position model. The record is from RNAcentral.